UCGAGAAUUUUUCACAAUGGGCGCAAGCCUGAUGGAGCGACGCCGCGUGGGGGAUGAAUGGCUUCGGCCCGUAAACCCCUGUCAUUUGCGAUCAACCGUUAUUAUUUAAAAGAUGAUGACCUGAUAGUAGCGAAAGAGGAAGGGACGGCUAACUCUGUGCCAGCAGCCGCGGUAAUACAGAGGUCCCAAGCGUUGUUCGGAUUCACUGGGCGUAAAGGGUGCGUAGGUGGCGAGGUAAGUCGGAUGUGAAAUCUCCAAGCUCAACUUGGGAAAUGCAUUGGAAACUACAAUGCUAGAGGAUUGGAGGGGGGACUGGAAUACUUGGUGUAGCAGUGAAAUGCGUAGAGAUCAAGUGGAACACCAGUGGCGAAAGCGAGUCCCUGGACAACUCCUGACACUGAUGCACGAAAGCUAGGGGAGCAAACA
Molecule: ribosomal RNA, 426 nt
Filed under: uncultured prokaryote
Description: bacterial SSU rRNA
Rfam family: Bacterial small subunit ribosomal RNA
Source: RNAcentral